UGAUCCCGCCGGACUGACUGCUAUCGGAUUGGUACUAAGCCAUGCGAGUCAUUGUAGCAAUACAAGGCGGACGGCUCAGUAACACGUAGUCAACCUAACUCGUGGACGUGGAUAACCUCGGGAAACUGAGAAUAAACCACGAUAGAUCAUAGUGCCUGGAAUGGCUUAUGGUCCAAACAGUUUACUGCCAUGGGAUGGGACUGCGGCCUAUCAGCUUGUUGGUGAGGUAAUGGCCCACCAAGGCGAUUACAGGUACGGGCUCUGAGAGGAGUAGCCCGGAGAUGGGUACUGAGACACGGACCCAGGCCCUAUGGGGCGCAGCAGGCGAGAAACCUUAGCAAUGUGCGAAAGCACGACUGGGUCAGUCCGAGUGAUUCCUGAUAAAGGAGUCUUUUGCCUGUCCUAAAGGCACAGGUGAAUAAGGGGUGGGCAAGUCUGGUGUCAGCCGCCGCGGUAAUACCAGCACCUCGAGUGGUCAGGACGUCUAUUGGGCCUAAAGCAUCCGUAGCUGGCUCUGCAAGUCUUCGGUUAAAUCCACCUGCUCAACAGAUGGGCCGCUGGAGAUACUACAGAGCUAGGGAGUGGGAGAGGCAGACGGUAUUCAGUGGGUAGGGGUAAAAUCCUCUGAUCCAUUGAGGACCACCAGUGGCGAAGGCGGUCUGCCAGAACACGUUCGACGGUGAGGGAUGAAAGCUGGGGGAGCAAACCGGAUUAGAUACCCGGGUAGUCCCAGCUGUAAACGAUGCAAACUCGGUGAUGCAUUGGCUUAUGGCCAAUGCAGUGCCGCAGGGAAGCCGUUAAGUUUGCCGCCUGGGAAGUACGGACGCAAGUCUGAAACUUAAAGGAAUUGGCGGGGGAGCACCACAAGGGGUGAAGCCUGCGGUUCAAUUGGAGUCAACGCCGGA
This 905-nucleotide ribosomal RNA is filed under the name uncultured archaeon. RNAcentral describes it as "bacterial SSU rRNA". It matches the Rfam family "Archaeal small subunit ribosomal RNA", at positions 9 to 922 of the family's 1478-position model. The record is from RNAcentral.